GGAGGGUGCAAGCGUUAUCCGGAUUCACUGGGUUUAAAGGGUGCGUAGGCGGAUUGGUAAGUCCGUGGUGAAAUCUCCAAGCUUAACUUGGAAACUGCCAUGGAUACUAUUGAUCUUGAAUGUUGUGGAGGUUAGCGGAAUAUGUCAUGUAGCGGUGAAAUGCAUAGAUAUGACAUAGAACACCAAUUGCGAAGGCAGCUGGCUACACAAAUAUUGACGCUGAGGCACGAAAGCGUGGGGAUCAAACAGGAUUAGAUACCCUGGUAGUCCACGCCCUAAACGAUGAUUACUCGACAUUUGCGAUACACAGCAAGUGUCUGAGCGAAAGCAUUAAGUAAUCCACCUGGAAGUACGACCGCAAGGUUG
RNAcentral lists this ribosomal RNA (366 nucleotides) under uncultured bacterium. RNAcentral's name for it is "bacterial SSU rRNA". It matches the Rfam family "Bacterial small subunit ribosomal RNA", at positions 527 to 896 of the family's 1533-position model. The record is from RNAcentral.